GGAUCGAUGAUGACACCCCAGUUACAUUCCUUGGAGCUGAACAAAAUGAGUGAAAACUCUAAACCGUCUCUCUCAUCAUGACUGAGGUCC
Molecule: small nucleolar RNA, 90 nt
Organism: Heterocephalus glaber (naked mole-rat)
Lineage: Eukaryota; Metazoa; Chordata; Mammalia; Rodentia; Bathyergidae
Gene: SNORD116
Rfam family: Small nucleolar RNA SNORD116
About the family: HBII-85 is a member of the C/D class of snoRNAs, which contain the C (UGAUGA) and D (CUGA) box motifs. HBII-85 is encoded in a tandemly repeated array with another C/D snoRNA, HBII-52, in the Prader-Willi syndrome (PWS) region of chromosome 15.
Source: Ensembl